This is a non-coding RNA of Drosophila virilis, 950 nucleotides long. The record is from RefSeq and is a predicted model, not a curated record. Lineage: Eukaryota; Metazoa; Arthropoda; Insecta; Diptera; Drosophilidae.
UUUAUCAUUUCUGUUGAUGUUUUACAAGUAUAUGUAUACUGAAAUUUGGCACCCAGAAGAAUUCCAAAUUUCUCCACCAACGUUUUUUCUGAAAUGGAUAAAUUCAAGUAUCUGAAGCCCGCCUGGUGGACUGCAUCGUUGAUACUUUUAAUGCUGUUGUCCAUGACGAAGGGUGCCUCAAAAUAUAUCAACUUUGCAGCUUUUCCGAAAAUUAUUGAUAAUGUGUUGGGCACAAUAUCCACAACCAUAACAAUUAGACCGGAUUAAGUGUUGCCAACAACAAAUGCAAAACAGGGCGAGCAAGCAACAACAAGAGCAGCAACAAGACAGCAAUUCGAAGCAAAAAGUCUGAAAACUGGUAUCAGCAGCAACAAGGCGCCCAGUGUGGACAUGACCCCGGCCAUGCGGCGCAACAGGUGGUGCCAGGGCAGCUACACAAACAAUCUCAGAUCGUGUGGGCUGGUCCACAUGUAGGCAAUAAUCUGAACAUGUCAGCUGCUGAUAUUGGUACAAGUUGCCGGGCUCAAAGAGUCGGCGCCACAAAGAUUGAAAAUAAAAGAAAAUAGUGCAAAAAAAACGUUGGCAAAUGAUUUUGCAAUGCGCCGGACACUCGUCAAUGUCGCGACAAGGUUCAAUAAUUGACCAAUGGAGCGGGGCAAGGGACAGGCUCUCGCUCUCUCUCUCUCCCCUUCUCUUUCUCUCUCGGUAGAUCAGGGCCAGGAGCAGGGUGCACUCUGUUAAUAGAGUCGUGAUCAACGGCCACGAAGCAACCUGCGCAUAUGCGCAAGGCAUUGGGGCAACGACCACCUACAACUGUGUAUUUGUUUUGGCCAUCCUUUGCGACCCUCCCCCCCUCCGAAAUCCCCCGCACUACCUCUUCGAUUGCUGUUCUUGUUGUUGUUGUUGUUGUUGUUCAAUUAAACUUUAUGCCAAUAAAUUGUAAGCAGUAA